This 253-nucleotide ribosomal RNA is filed under the name uncultured bacterium. RNAcentral's name for it is "partial 16S ribosomal RNA". It matches the Rfam family "Bacterial small subunit ribosomal RNA", at positions 524 to 776 of the family's 1533-position model. The record is from RNAcentral.
UACGUAGGGGGCGAGCGUUAUCCGGAAUUAUUGGGCGUAAAGGGUGUGCAGGCGGUUUGCCAAGUUCGUAGCGACAGCCAUCGGCUUAACUGAUGGAGGAUUACGAAAACUGGCAGACUUGAGAGCGAGAGAGGGACAUGGAACUCCGGGUGGAGCGGUGACAUGCGUAGAGAUCCGGAAGAACACCAACGGCGAAGGCAGUGUCCUAGCUCGUUUCUGACGCUCAAGCACGAAAGCUAGGGGAGCGAACAGG